ACAAUAGCCUCACUACCAUCAAGCGAUACUGCUGCUUACGAGAAACAAGGGAUGCUGCGCACGCUGAUUAAAGUCACGUUCGGUUAUCCUGCGAUUUUUGACGAGGUUCGGCAGGAAUGCCAAAUCAACAAUGCGCAUGUUGUCGCCGGAUGUGGAUCCGGGUAUCAAAGCGUUUAUAGCCGUUGUCAGAGCUGCAGAACAUCAGUCAGAAAAAGCAGCGGACCAGGGUUCGUGUGCAGGAUAAGCGGGUGCAAAUCAACAGAAUUCGC
This 269-nucleotide small RNA is filed under the name Salmonella enterica subsp. enterica serovar Paratyphi A str. ATCC 9150. RNAcentral's name for it is "isrF Hfq binding RNA". It matches the Rfam family "isrF Hfq binding RNA". Lineage: Bacteria; Pseudomonadati; Pseudomonadota; Gammaproteobacteria; Enterobacterales; Enterobacteriaceae. The record is from Rfam by way of RNAcentral.